RNAcentral lists this ribosomal RNA (497 nucleotides) under uncultured bacterium. Its description in RNAcentral is "partial 16S ribosomal RNA". It matches the Rfam family "Bacterial small subunit ribosomal RNA", at positions 28 to 507 of the family's 1533-position model. The record is from RNAcentral.
GAUGAACGCUGGCGGCGUGCCUAAUACAUGCAAGUCGAGCGAACGGACGAGAAGCUUGCUUUUCUGAUGUUAGCGGCGGACGGGUGAGUAACACGUGGAUAACCUACCUAUAAGACUGGGAUAACUUCGGGAAACCGGAGCUAAUACCGGAUAAUAUUUUGAACCGCAUGGUUCAAAAGUGAAAGACGGUCUUGCUGUCACUUAUAGAUGGAUCCGCGCUGCAUUAGCUAGUUGGUAAGGUAACGGCUUACCAAGGCAAUGAUGCAUAGCCGACCUGAGAGGGUGAUCGGCCACACUGGAACUGAGACACGGUCCAGACUCCUACGGAAGGCAGCAGUAGGGAAUCUUCCGCAAUGGGCGAAAGCCUGACGGAGCAACGCCGCGUGAGUGAUGAAGGUCUUCGGAUCGUAAAACUCUGUUAUUAGGGAAGAACAUAUGUGUAAGUAACUGUGCACAUCUUGACGGUACCUAAUCAGAAAGCCACGGCUAACUACGUG